RNAcentral lists this ribosomal RNA (478 nucleotides) under uncultured bacterium. Its description in RNAcentral is "partial 16S ribosomal RNA". It matches the Rfam family "Bacterial small subunit ribosomal RNA", at positions 28 to 507 of the family's 1533-position model. The record is from RNAcentral.
GAUGAACGCUAGCGGCAGGCCUAACACAUGCAAGUCGAGGGAGAAGCCCUUUCGGGGGCAGAAACCGGCGCACGGGUGCGUAACGCGUAUGCAACCUACCUUUCACAGGGGGAUAGCCCGAAGAAAUUUGGAUUAAUACCCAUAACUAUUAUUGGAUGCCACCAUUUGAUAAUUAAAACUGCGUUGCGGAAAGUGGGGAAGGCGUCCUAUUAGCUAGUUGUGGUGGUAACGGCACCCCAAGCCUACGAUAGGUAGGGGUCCUGAGGGGAGGAUCCCUCACACUGGUACUGGGACAGGGAGCAGACUCAUACGGGCGGCAGCAGUGAGGAAUAUUGGUCAAUGGUCGGAAGACUGAACCGGCCAAGCCGCAUGCAGGAAGAAUGCCUUAUGGGUUGUAAACUGCUUUUAUAUGGGAAGAAUAAGGCGUACGUGUACGUUGAUGACGGUAACAUAUGAAUAAGCAUCGGCUAACUCCGUG